UGUCCUUCAUAGGAGGUCUAUAUUGAGCAGAUUCUUUUUGGUAUUGGGUGGUGGAACCGGAGCGUGCUCCAUCCACUCCAUGCAUUGACCUGGUAUUGCAGUGCUUCCAGGACCGAUGC
This is a small nuclear RNA of Crocodylus porosus (Australian saltwater crocodile), 119 nucleotides long. Its record names the gene U2. It matches the Rfam family "U2 spliceosomal RNA". Rfam says of the family: U2 is a small nuclear RNA (snRNA) component of the spliceosome (involved in pre-mRNA splicing). Complementary binding between U2 snRNA (in an area lying towards the 5' end but 3' to hairpin I) and the branchpoint sequence (BPS) of the intron results the bulging out of an unpaired adenosine, on the BPS, which initiates a nucleophilic attack at the intronic 5' splice site, thus starting the first of two transesterification reactions that mediate splicing. Lineage: Eukaryota; Metazoa; Chordata; Crocodylia; Crocodylidae. The record is from Ensembl.